Molecule: transfer RNA, 64 nt
Filed under: Sympiezomias velatus
Lineage: Eukaryota; Metazoa; Arthropoda; Insecta; Coleoptera; Curculionidae
Description: tRNA-Pro
Source: RNAcentral
CAGGAAAUAGUUUAUUUAAAAUAUUAAUUUUGGAGAUUAAUGAAGAGAGCUUUUUUUUUCUUGA